Molecule: ribosomal RNA, 472 nt
Filed under: uncultured bacterium
Lineage: Bacteria
Description: bacterial SSU rRNA
Rfam family: Bacterial small subunit ribosomal RNA
Source: RNAcentral
UGGGGAAUUUUGGACAAUGGGCGCAAGCCUGAUCCAGCCAUGCCGCGUGCGGGAAGAAGGCCUUCGGGUUGUAAACCGCUUUUGUCAGGGGAGAAACGGUCUGUCUUAAUACUGCGGACUAAUGACGGUACCUGAAGAAUAAGCACCGGCUAACUACGUGCCAGCAGCCGCGGUAAUACGUAGGGUGCAAGCGUUAAUCGGAAUUACUGGGCGUAAAGCGUGCGCAGGCGGCUUUGCAAGACAGAUGUGAAAUCCCCGGGCUCAACCUGGGAACUGCAUUUGUGACUGCAAGGCUGGAGUGCGGCAGAGGGGGAUGGAAUUCCGCGUGUAGCAGUGAAAUGCGUAGAUAUGCGGAGGAACACCGAUGGCGAAGGCAAUCCCCUGGGCCUGCACUGACGCUCAUGCACGAAAGCGUGGGGAGCAAACAGGAUUAGAUACCCGAGUAGUCCCUGAGCGGGCUGGCAAGGCGCAU